RNAcentral lists this long non-coding RNA (251 nucleotides) under Chinchilla lanigera (long-tailed chinchilla). RNAcentral's name for it is "lncRNA (ENSCLAG00000025521.1)". The record is from RNAcentral. Lineage: Eukaryota; Metazoa; Chordata; Mammalia; Rodentia; Chinchillidae.
ACAAAAUCCUUAAGUUUUAUUGGGCAACAUAGAAAGAUUACAGUGUCCAAAUAAACUGAGCAAGAAAAUGCCCAUCAGGAAACAAAGAGCUACGGAAAGAAAAGAAAAGGCAUUGCAGAAACAGAGUUUGAAAUAUGUAAGAGUGACCUGAUCAAUCAAGACAGAAGCAGACCACAAAGCAAAGGUAUACACGUCUGACUCUGCUAGGGACACACACUUCCCAUCCCCAGUCUCUGCUCUGUGGUUUUGGG